GACUGCUAACACCGGAUAUGGUGGUAUCGAGGCAUCUCGAAGCCAUGAAAGUUUACACUGAAGGAUGAGCCCGCGUCCCAUUAGCUAGUUGGUGAGGUAAUGGCUCACCAAGGCGACGAUGGGUAGCCGACCUGAGAGGGUGAUCGGCCACACUGGGACUGAGACACGGCCCAGACUCCUACGGGAGGCAGCAGUAGGGAAUUUUCGGCAAUGGGGGAAACCCUGACCGAGCAACGCCGCGUGAGGGAUGAAGGUCUUCGGAUCGUAAACCUUUGUCUAGAGGGACGAUAAUGACGGUACCUCUGGAGGAAGCCACGGCUAACUACGUGCCAGCAGCCGCGGUAAUACGUAGGUGGCGAGCGUUGUCCGGAAUUACUGGGCGUAAAGGGCGUGUAGGCGGCCUUUUAAGUCAGACGUGAAAUCCCUGGGCUUAACCCAGGAACUGCGUUUGAAACUGAAGGGCUUGAGGACCGGAGAGGGCAGCGACUCCGCAGGGAG
This 498-nucleotide ribosomal RNA is filed under the name uncultured bacterium. RNAcentral's name for it is "bacterial SSU rRNA". It matches the Rfam family "Bacterial small subunit ribosomal RNA", at positions 158 to 678 of the family's 1533-position model. The record is from RNAcentral.